Molecule: ribosomal RNA, 253 nt
Filed under: uncultured bacterium
Lineage: Bacteria
Description: partial 16S ribosomal RNA
Rfam family: Bacterial small subunit ribosomal RNA
Source: RNAcentral
GACGUAGGGCGCAAGCGUUGUCCGGAUUUAUUGGGCGUAAAGAGCUCGUAGGCGGCUUGUUGCGUCGGCUGUGAAAACCCGCGGCUUAACUGCGGGCUUGCAGCUGAUACGGGCGGGCUGGAGUUCGGUAGGGGAGACUGGAAUUCCUGGUGUAGCGGUGAAAUGCGCAGAUAUCAGGAGGAACACCGGUGGCGAAGGCGGGUCUCUGGGCCGAUACUGACGCUGAGGAGCGAAAGCGUGGGGAGCGAACAGG